UCAGGUUUAUUUGAGUGGCAGUCAUUUAGUAAAAAAUUCAAGUGAGUCUGGGGCAGGGAUGAUUAUUAAUGAACUAAGUGUUUCUUUUAUUAGACAAUGGAGAAAAGGAUGUGCUUGUGUGAAUGUGAAUGUGGGGGGAAAGGGGGUAGAAAUGGAAUCCCAAGGCCUUUUCCUUUUGUAGGAUCACUCUAGCCAUAUAGAGCUAUACACUGCUUUUUGAGGGAUUAUUAUCUAGAAGACUUGCAAACGUAAUAAAACUAAGCCAAACCAUCGUGAAGCUAUCCUUUUGUUUCCGUUCCCUCAACAACUGUAAUUUAUUGCUUAGUUUUUUCAGUAGGGUGACGUCCCAUUUUUGAGGUGGCAAGGGCCCCAUCAAUGUUGAUGGGCAUAGCCAUUCAAAUGGUGUGUGUGUUGUGAAUGAUUAUGUGGGGCGGGGCUUACCUGAGCCCCCCAAUAUUUUGUUCAUGUUGGCACCCCUGAUGUAGUGAUUAACAAGUUAUUGAUUGAUGUUAUAAAGCAUUGACUUCUGCUGAGUCAUAUUACUACCCUUGUCUAGCCCUCAAUAAUGUAUCUUUCACUGUUCAGGAAAAAACCUCCCUCUACUAGCAAAAGAUCAGAGUUCAGUAUACUAUAGUAGAAAGUUACAUUGAUGGCAGCUAGCCCAAGGAAUCAGGAUAAAUCAUGUUGUUGCAUUCUUCUCUUUUGAGGCACUUUUUAAAAUCAGUGUUUGUGACCUUUCCAAGCCCUUUCCCACACGCUCCAUGCGUUUGAUGGUCCUGUGAAUUAGGAGGCCAGCACAAUAGUAAACCCGAUGUCAGCAACCUUUUGGGGCAAAUAGAAAUGCUACACACAAAAUGGCUCCCAUGUGGAGUGGCAUCACACAAAAUGGCCGUCACAUCCAAAAGAGCAGGAGCUCACUAUUUACUCUGCAUCCAGUGUGCUCCUGCUACUGGUUUGGGAAGCAGUGAGCACAUGAUGGAUUUCCUCGUUUAUAACAUGAAAAAGAAGACCUCACAGUGGAUUGGCUUAAGAUACAUGACAACAGAAAUGGCAUGGAAGUGGGUGGAUGGCACAAAUGCCUCUUACACCACUGGCUCUAUGGAUGGAAAUAUGGUCUUCUCUACUUCGCUGUUCAGCUUUGUUGUUGGGAGAGCAGCAUGCAAAUACUAAAUCAAAAGCAGCACCUGAAAGAAAAGCAUCAGAAAUGGCACUGCAGGGGCAAAGGGCUUUUCUCGGUGGGUGGGGAAGGAGGUGAGCAUGUGAAGAGUAUUGGUGUACAUCCUCAAUCAGUUACAGAAUGCUAUGAACAAAUGCUCUAGAUCAGUUUAUUGCUCUGGAUCUGGUGUGUGUGUGUGUGUGUGUGCGCGCGCGCACGUCCACUCAUGAGAAUCCUUCCAGAAGGGUACUCCAAAACACACAGCCAUCUAUUAUUGCAGCAACAACAGGCCACACAACAGAGACACAAACAUGGAGCCCACAAAGCCGUGCCCUCCUCCAUUCUACAUAGGUGUGACUUUGCCCCAAAGGAAAAAUGAAUCACAUCAGAAAGGGCCAUACUCUGAAACCAGCAGACUUCCAGGACACCCCAACACAGACCUCAAGGUCAUGAACCAGAGGAGGAAAACUUCAUCAUGAACUUGCUGAAUGAACACUUAUCAGGAAAUUCAAGUGUAUUUCAUCUGGUCUGCAUUAAGAUCAUGGGGUUUGAAUCCUCUGCAGGUUUUCAUUAGCCAAUAAAUAGCAGGAUGCUGUCCUCA
Long non-coding RNA from Podarcis raffonei (Aeolian wall lizard), 1757 nucleotides. RefSeq lists it as uncharacterized. The transcript is spliced from 3 exons. Lineage: Eukaryota; Metazoa; Chordata; Lepidosauria; Squamata; Lacertidae. The record is from RefSeq and is a predicted model, not a curated record.